GCUACUGGAGACUGGCGGACGGGUGAGUAACGCGUAGAUAACCUGCCUAUAUCUGGGGGAUAACAUCUCGAAAGGGGUGCUAAUACCGCAUAAUGCAGCGGGGCCGCAUGGCCACAGUUGUUAAAAGUUUCGGCUGGAUAUAGAGGGGUCUGCGUACUAUUAGUUAGUUGGUGAGGUAACGGCUCACCAAGGCGAUGAUAGUUAGGGGGUCUGAGAGGAUGAUCCCCCACACUGGGACUGAGACACGGCCCAGACUCCUACGGGAGGCAGCAGUGAGGAAUCUUGCGCAAUGGGCGAAAGCCUGACGCAGCCACGCCGCGUGCCGGAAGACGGCCCUAUGGGUUGUAAACGGCUUUUGAAUGGGAAGAACGAGAGGGUUUCGAUCUUCUGUGACGGUACCAUUUGAAUAAGCACCGGCUAACUCCGUGCCAGCAGCCGCGGUAAUACGGAGGGUGCAAGCGUUGUCCGGAAUCAUUGGGUGUAAAGGGUGCGUAGGCGGGAGCCUAAGUCUGUGGUG
This 517-nucleotide ribosomal RNA is filed under the name marine sediment bacterium BB0608_2216_1.2_14G0. RNAcentral describes it as "bacterial SSU rRNA". It matches the Rfam family "Bacterial small subunit ribosomal RNA", at positions 84 to 596 of the family's 1533-position model. The record is from RNAcentral.